AUUGAACGCUGGCGGCAGGCUUAACACAUGCAAGUCGAACGAUAAAACCUAGCUUGCUAGGUGGAUUAGUGGCGGACGGGUGAGUACAACUUAGGAAUCUACCUUUUAGCGGGGGAUAGCUCGGGGAAACUCGAAUUAAUACCGCAUACACCUUACGAGGGAAAGGGGGCUUUUAGCUCUUACUAAAAGAUGAGCCUAAGCAAGAUUAGCUAGUUGGUGGGGUAAAAGCCUACCAAGGCGACGAUCUUUAGCUGGUCUGAGAGGAUGAUCAGCCACACUGGGACUGAGACACGGCCCAGACUCCUACGGGAGGCAGCAGUGGGGAAUAUUGGACAAUGGGGGCAACCCUGAUCCAGCCAUGCCGCGUGUGUGAAGAAGGCCUUUUGGUUGUAAAGCACUUUAAGCAGUGAGGAAAAGCUAUAUGUUAAUACCAUAUAGCCCUGACGUUAACUGCAGAAUAAGCACCGGCUAACUCUGUGCCAGCAGCCGCGGUAAUACAGAGGGUGCAAGCGUUAAUCGGAAUUACUGGGCGUAAAGAGAACGUAGGUGGUCAAUUAAGUCAGAUGUGAAAUCCCUGAGCUCAACUUAGGAACUGCAUCUGAUACUGAUUGACUAGAGUAGGUGAGAGGAGAGUAGAAUUCCAGGUGUAGCGGUGAAAUGCGUAGAUAUCUGGAGGAAUACCGAUGGCGAAGGCAGCUCUCUGGCAUCAUACUGACACUGAGGUUCGAAAGCGUGGGUAGCAAACGGG
This 748-nucleotide ribosomal RNA is filed under the name uncultured bacterium. RNAcentral's name for it is "bacterial SSU rRNA". It matches the Rfam family "Bacterial small subunit ribosomal RNA", at positions 28 to 776 of the family's 1533-position model. The record is from RNAcentral.